GGGGGCCUCCUCCGCGGGCCUCGCAGGUGCUCGGCCGGCGCAGGCUGGGGCUGGAGGCGCCCCCCUCCCCACUCGCGGGGUCCGGGUUUACUCCCACCCCAGGGGUCCGGGAUGCAUGACUGAGGGGCGUUGGCCCCCGGCCACAGGGCCAGGGCGGAGGGGGUGGGGGAGCAGCCCAUUAAGAUUCAGAGGGAAGCGGGUCCUCGGAGACGGCGGGAAACAAAGGCGCCCCAGUGCUGCCCACUUAGCAUGCCAGGGCCGCGCCGCUCGGCUCCCGGGGCCAGAGAUGUGGCCCCCGUGCCCACGAACUCCAAGGCCACUGCUUCAGAGUGCACCCAGUAAACACCCCGGCAGAGGCAGCCGGCCUGGGAAAUUGUGAAUGCCUCGGUUUUGAAACAGGCUCUUAGCUCUCCUUGCCUUCUUGCAGGGUGAUUGUCGAAGGUAACUACUUGAAGUUGUUGCAAGAGUCUUAUUUAUACAACCAAAUGAGAACUUAAAAGCUACUUUAACUGGCUUUUGUCUGCAUAUCCUGGUGAAGUUAGGCUGUAGAGAGCUUCGAGGGACUGUUGUUCUGCCAGACACUAGGAUGCCUCUGAGAGAUGGUGGCUCUUAGGAAGAAGACAGCCCCAUAGUGCGUGCCCAGUGAAGGUCUAUGGAAGAAUGAACACGUCCCAGAUAGAGAUGAAACGGUCUUUGGCUCCUACAGACAGAGAGGGACUGGGGCUGGCCCUGGCGUGGAUGCCGACCUCUAGCCCAACCGUGUCCAGGAGGCAGGUGACGUGACUGUCGCAUCUUGGCAUAGGAGAGCCCAUCGUGUGAGAAGAAUGCAGCUCCAGAUGAAACCCUGUUGGCUGGGACCACAAAGAGGCAGAGCUGAAAAACACAAGGAUGCUAUUCCAAGACAAGGACAAGAAGGCCAGGAGGACAUUUCCACCGACGGCCGCUGCAGAGGGGAAAAACUAAAGCAGGAGGAAAAAUUAACAAGGAGAGAUGCAGAGAAUGAUCCAGUCAGCACAGAAAAGCAGCGCUUAUCCAUUAGUCCCACGGCUGAGCCCUUGGAAAGAGCCUUCGUGUAUCUCGUCCACCUACCUAUCGUUUUUGACCUCUGACACUCACUCUCCAUCGCCCACCAACAGCGAUGCUCCAGUAAACUCCAGCUCCUGGUCGUUUCCUACACACACCAUGAGGCUUCCUCUGCCCAAACUGUGCAUCCCCCAAUGAACUCAUUCUUCAGCCACCAUUUCUUGAUUGUCUCCUUCCUUCCAGACCGUGACUGCAUGACUCCUUCCAUGUAGGGGCCCCAUACCCCUCCUUUUCCUUUAUUUUAGCACAGAUUUCACUGUACUGGGAUUGAUUUUUACAUUUUUUUUUCUUUCAUUAAGCUGUGAGCUACUGCCUUCGUAUUUUUCCUUCUUUGAGACCUAGCUCAUAUCCUGACCCACACGGAGAUGCCUCAUGUUUAUGGAGUGAGUGGUUGAGUGUCUUAUCAGACAUGAGUGGUCAUGUAACCCACCAUGCCGCCCCUCCAGGGCCUCCUUGAUAAGAUACACAGAACUAAACGUUGCUUCUCUCUGCAACAUCUCAUCCAUUUCCAGUGAGAUGGAACCCCUGCAUCUCUUUUAACUCCUCUUGGUCGGGUUUUUAUUUUUAACUCCCUUCUAUAAUGCUGAUUCAUAGUAAAAGCUACAUCAGUUACUCUUGGAAAUAAGUAUGAGAAAAGAGACUCUACUCAGUGUUCAGCAGCCUACACAGUGUAAAUCUUUAUUUUCUCCGACUGCACGAGAACAAUUUCAGUAACUCCCUUUCCAGUAGUAAUUACCACGACUCCUCUCAUGUGAGUUCAGCCCUUUGUGACUUUCACGUCACUUUAGCAUCACUGUUUCACAGGCUUGGGUAUUUCUGAUUUGGCCUUACUAGUGAAGAAAUACCAUGUGUGUGAAAUUAUUCAGAUUCUAAUAGAUAACCACUUUCCUGUUUGGAUUAAUUUAUUUCGGAAACCACCUCACAAAUGACAACAAUUUUUUUUCCCAGCAUAACAAGAUUGUCUGGAAGUUUUAGCAGGUAAUACUAGCCAUGUGCAUUUGGUCUUUACCCAUGUGAUAUAUUUAAGGAGGUCAUUUUUGCUUAAAAAUGCCAAGUGAAUUAGUAGGGUUAAUGAUUAAUCUCUCUUUCCAAGUGAUGUUUGGCAUUCUGUUAGCGUCCACACUGGUUACUCCGAUACAACACGUCUAGACCAAGUUCAUUAUCCAACCAACUGGUCUGCAACUGUUCAAUCAUUAACAUGCAAAUUACCACAAAUAAAGGACAGGUGACAAUGA
Molecule: non-coding RNA, 2318 nt
Organism: Vicugna pacos (alpaca)
Lineage: Eukaryota; Metazoa; Chordata; Mammalia; Artiodactyla; Camelidae
Source: RefSeq, a predicted model, not a curated record